GAUUAACGCUGGCGGCGUGCCUAACACAUGCAAGUCGAACGAUGAAACUUAAAUGAUUUCUUCGGAAUGAACUUAAGUGGAUUAGUGGCGGACGGGUGAGUAACGCGUGAGUAACCUGCCUUACACAAGGGGAUAGCCGUUGGAAACGACGAAUAAUACCCUAUGAAACUAUCACUUCGCAUGAAGCGAUAGUCUAAGUGUUAGCGGUGUAAGAUGGACUUGCGUCUGAUUAGCUAGUUGGUGAGAAAAAAGCCCACCAAGGCAACGAUCAGUAGCCGGCUUGGGAGAGUGUACGGCCACAUUGGGACUGGGACAAGGCCCAGACUCCUAGGGGAGGCAGCAGUGGGGAAUUUUGAACAAUGGGGGAAACCCUGAUGCAGCGACGCCGCGAGAUUUAGAAGGCCUUCGGGUUGUAAAAAUCUUUUGUAUAGGAAGAAAAUGACAGUACUAUACGAAUAAGGUCCGGCUAAUUACGUG
This 477-nucleotide ribosomal RNA is filed under the name uncultured bacterium. Its description in RNAcentral is "partial 16S ribosomal RNA". It matches the Rfam family "Bacterial small subunit ribosomal RNA", at positions 28 to 507 of the family's 1533-position model. The record is from RNAcentral.